UGGGGAAUUUUGGACAAUGGGCGAAAGCCUGAUCCAGCAAUGCCGCGUGUGUGAAGAAGGCCUUCGGGUUGUAAAGCACUUUUGUCCGGAAAGAAAUCCUUGGCUCUAAUACAGUCGGGGGAUGACGGUACCGGAAGAAUAAGCACCGGCUAACUACGUGCCAGCAGCCGCGGUAAUACGUAGGGUGCAAGCGUUAAUCGGAAUUACUGGGCGUAAAGCGUGCGCAGGCGGUUUGCUAAGACCGAUGUGAAAUCCCCGGGCUCAACCUGGGGACUGCAUUGGUGACUGGCAGGCUAGAGUAUGGCAGAGGGGGGUUAGAAUUCCACGUGUAGCAGUGAAAUGCGUAGAGAUGUGGAGGAAUACCGAUGGCGAAGGCAGCCCCCUGGGCCAAAUACUGACGCUCAUGCACGAAAGCGUGGGGAGCAAACAGGAUUAGAUACCCUGGUAGUCCACGCCCUAAACGAUGUCAACUAGUUGUUGGGGAUUCAUUUCCUUAGUAACGUAGCUAACGCGUGAAGUUGACCGCCU
This 528-nucleotide ribosomal RNA is filed under the name uncultured bacterium. RNAcentral's name for it is "partial 16S ribosomal RNA". It matches the Rfam family "Bacterial small subunit ribosomal RNA", at positions 355 to 874 of the family's 1533-position model. The record is from RNAcentral.